CUAGCGCUGCUCCACCCUCCCCUCCUCCUUACGCAAUCGCCGCCACCUCCCCUCCCAUGGCAGCCCUGCUCGGCCACCUCCUUCCCGACGGUGCUUUGCGCAUGCCGGCGCCACCACAUUUUCGUGGUGCAUCACCCCUCAUGGUGCCAUCCCCUCCUCCCCAUACUGCACCACCGCUGCCGCUCCCGUGUGGCCGCCCCGCCCGAUCGCUUCCCUUCCGGCAGAGUGGUGCGCCUACCAGCGCCAUACCCUUUCUGCGCUGCGCUACCCGUACCGGAUUGUCUGCUCCUUCUCCCAUGUCAACUUCUUCCGCUGUUGAGGCCACUGACGAACGUCCACACGCUUCUGCUCCCCUCCCUCCUGUGCAUCCUUGACAUCAAUGGAUUUUGGUUCAAUGGCCACAUGUCGUGUUGCUGAUUCCUUUGCUGGAUUGUCUGGUUCAGUUGAGUGCAUUACUGCUCACGUAUGUGCUAUCGUUCACGAUUUGAGCUUGGUAUUUUUUUAUUGAUUGGUUGCAGACAUAAAAUAAAUGAUAGAUGGCUUGUGAUCGCGGAGGCUUGACAGGAGCAGAGAAGCCCACCCCUAGUGGCAAGAUUGUGAUGUCCUGCUCAAGUUCUGCUUAGGCUCUUGAGAUUUCUGGAAAGAGUAAAGUUGUGAAUAGAAGCGAGCUGACUAAAGUACAUCUCUACUGAUGAUUGAUUGUUGCUAUUUGAUAACAACUAGGAUCCAAUAGCAAUAUUCAGAAGCAUCUGUGCUACAGUGAGCAGACAUAUUGAGGCCUAGAUAUUAAUGGUGUGGUUAUUGUUUUUUUCGCUGAUUACUGCAAAACUAUUGUGUCAUCAGACAAGUGCGAUCUAAUAAAUGGGUCCUCGAGAUUUAUUGCUCCGUAGUAACAUCAAAGCUCAAGGUACAUAACUUAUCACCCGCCUUAUCUUCCAUAGCUGUACAAUAAAGUCAACUGCAUGAAUUGUUUUACUAAAAUACAUAUUGCCCCCACAUACCUCCAAAUCUUAGUAUGUAACAUAUUUUCUUCCCGUGAAUAAUACUAAUACUUUUUGCACCCCGUUACCUAUAACAUUUCAUUCUUAGAAAUGAGCAAGACAAAAAAAACUGCCAUAGAUUUAAAAAAUGUUUGCACAGAUACUGAGAUAGCAAAAUGUAGCCAUGUUAAGAGGCGAAGUGCAAACAUCCAACAAGCUUCCAACAGUUACCUACACCUCAUGGUAUGGUACAAUACUCUUCGGAGUAUAACCAGUACUUAAAAAUAAUUAUAUAAAUCGAUCAUACUAUGAUGUAGUCCAAUACAAAUGUCAAUAUUGCAAUGCUAUAUUCUAGGAAAAACGAAGGAGUUAA
This is a long non-coding RNA of Phragmites australis (common reed), 1353 nucleotides long. RefSeq lists it as uncharacterized. Lineage: Eukaryota; Viridiplantae; Streptophyta; Magnoliopsida; Poales; Poaceae. The record is from RefSeq and is a predicted model, not a curated record. The transcript has 3 exons.